RNAcentral lists this ribosomal RNA (396 nucleotides) under uncultured bacterium. RNAcentral's name for it is "partial 16S ribosomal RNA". It matches the Rfam family "Bacterial small subunit ribosomal RNA", at positions 523 to 918 of the family's 1533-position model. The record is from RNAcentral.
AUACGAAGGGUGCAAGCGUUAAUCGGAAUUACUGGGCGUAAAGCGCGCGUAGGUGGUUUUGUAAGUUGGAGGUGAAAGCCCCGGGCUCAACCUGGGAAUUGCCUCCAAAACUGCAUGACUAGAGUACGGUAGAGGGUAGUGGAAUUUCCUGUGUAGCGGUGAAAUGCGUAGAUAUAGGAAGGAACACCAGUGGCGAAGGCGACUACUGGGACGGAUUCUGCCACUGAGGUGCGAAAGCGGGGGGAGCAAACAGGAUUAGAUCCCCUGGUAGACCACGCCGUAAACGAUGUCAACUAGCCGUUGGGAUCCUUGAGAUCUUAGUGGCGCAGCUAACGCAUUAAGUUGACCGCCUGGGGAGUACGGCCGCAAGGUUAAAACUCAAAUGAAUUGACGGGG